UAGAGUUUGAUCCUGGCUCAGAUUGAACGCUGGCGGCAGGCCUAACACAUGCAAGUCGAGCGGCAGCGACAACAAAGAUUCUUCGGAUGAUUUGUUGGGCGGCGAGCGGCGGACGGGUGAGUAAUGGCUGGGAACCUGCCCUGACGUGGGGGAUAACAGUUGGAAACGACUGAUAAUACCGCAUGAUGUCUUCGGACCAAAGAGGAGGACCUUCGGGCUUCUCGCGUCGGGAUGGGCCCAGUUGGGAUUAGCUAGUUGGUGAGGUAAUGGCUCACCAAGGCGACGAUCCCUAGCUGGUUUGAGAGGAUGAUCAGCCACACUGGAACUGAGACACGGUCCAGACUCCUACGGGAGGCAGCAGUGGGGAAUAUUGCACAAUGGGCGCAAGCCUGAUGCAGCCAUGCCGCGUGUGUGAAGAAGGCCUUCGGGUUGUAAAGCACUUUCAGCAGUGAGGAAGGGUAAUGAGUUAAUACCUCAUUAUCUUGACGUUAGCUGCAGAAGAAGCACCGGCUAACUCCGUGCCAGCAGCCGCGGUAAUACGGAGGGUGCGAGCGUUAAUCGGAAUUACUGGGCGUAAAGCGCAUGCAGGCGGUUUGUUAAGCAAGAUGUGAAAGCCCCGGGCUCAACCUGGGAACCGCAUUUUGAACUGGCAGGCUAGAGUCCUGUAGAGGGGGGUAGAAUUUCA
This 685-nucleotide ribosomal RNA is filed under the name uncultured Vibrionaceae bacterium. RNAcentral's name for it is "bacterial SSU rRNA". It matches the Rfam family "Bacterial small subunit ribosomal RNA", at positions 1 to 671 of the family's 1533-position model. The record is from RNAcentral. Lineage: Bacteria; Pseudomonadati; Pseudomonadota; Gammaproteobacteria; Vibrionales; Vibrionaceae.